GAUGAAGAACGCAGCGAAAUGCGAUAAGUAGUGUGAAUUGCAGAAUUCAGUGAAUCAUCGAAUCUUUGAACGCACAUUGCGCCCCUUGGUAUUCCGAGGGGCAUGCCUGCUCGAGCGUCAUUAUAACCCCUCAAGCUCAGCUUGGUGUUGGGGCCUGCUGCACUGGCAGCCCUUAAAAUCAGUGGCGGCGCCAUCUGGCUCUAAGCGUAGUAAUUCUUCUCGCUAUGGAGUCCUGGUGGAUGCUUGCCAUCAACCCCCAAUUUUUCUAUGGUUGACCUCGGAUCAGGUAGGGAUACCCGCUGAACUUAAGCAUAUCAAUAAGCGGAGGA
This 329-nucleotide unclassified non-coding RNA is filed under the name soil metagenome. RNAcentral's name for it is "partial contains 5.8S ribosomal RNA, internal transcribed spacer 2, and large subunit ribosomal RNA". The stretch from base 1 to 120 matches the Rfam family "5.8S ribosomal RNA", at positions 35 to 154 of the family's 154-position model. The record is from RNAcentral.